This 312-nucleotide small RNA is filed under the name Pongo abelii (Sumatran orangutan). RNAcentral's name for it is "retained intron". Lineage: Eukaryota; Metazoa; Chordata; Mammalia; Primates; Hominidae. The record is from RNAcentral.
CCCCAGGCUCUCAGGUUGCGCGUCUGCUCGUCUGCUUACCCGGUGACCUGGCAGGCCUGAUACACUUCUCCGCUUUGUUCCCUCUCCAGGUGGACCAGCGGGUGUUCAGAGACCUUAUGAGUGAGAAGCUGCCUCGGUUGCAUGGCCACUUUGAACAGUACAAAGUCGACUACACCCUCAUCACUUUCAACUGGUUUCUGGUGGUGUUUGUGGAUAGUGUCGUUAGUGACAUCCUCUUUAAAAUAUGGGACUCUUUCCUUUAUGAAGGACCAAAGGUUAUUUUCCGUUUUGCUCUGGCACUUUUUAAGUACA